CUACGGGCCGCUCCAGUGGGGGAUAUUGCACAAUGGGCGAAAGCCUGAUGCAGCAACGCCGCGUGAAGGAUGACGGAUUUCGGUCUGUAAACUUCUGUCAGCAGGGAAGAAAAUGACGGUACCUGACUAAGAAGCCCCGGCUAACUACGUGCCAGCAGCCGCGGUAAUACGUAGGGGGCAAGCGUUAUCCGGAAUUACUGGGUGUAAAGGGUACGUAGGCGGCUGAUCAAGUCAGAUGUGAAAGCCCGGAGCUCAACUCCGGGAUUGCAUUUGAAACUGGUCGGCUAGAGUGCAGGAGAGGAAAGUGGAAUUCCUAGUGUAGCGGUGAAAUGCGUAGAUAUUAGGAAGAACACCAGUGGCGAAGGCGGCUUUCUGGACUGUAACUGACGCUGAGGUACGAAAGCGUGGGGAGCGAACAGGAUUAGAUACCCGAGUAGUC
RNAcentral lists this ribosomal RNA (439 nucleotides) under uncultured bacterium. Its description in RNAcentral is "partial 16S ribosomal RNA". It matches the Rfam family "Bacterial small subunit ribosomal RNA", at positions 339 to 795 of the family's 1533-position model. The record is from RNAcentral.